Long non-coding RNA from Physcomitrium patens, 1790 nucleotides. RefSeq lists it as uncharacterized. Lineage: Eukaryota; Viridiplantae; Streptophyta; Bryopsida; Funariales; Funariaceae. The record is from RefSeq and is a predicted model, not a curated record.
GUUCUGGACCACUUUAGUCGCUGUAAAAUCUGGUGAUUGAUGGUUCCGUUAGUUUCUUUGACCAACGAGAGCCUUGAAAUUGUGAGCACAGAGGGAUGGCUUAGUUCGGUUGCAAGCCUAAGCAGAAUGUAGUCCGCCCAUUAUCAGCUCUGCGUAAGCUAAAUCUUCGUCCACUGAGAAAUUAUUUGCACAUUUAGGCAGGAGUGCUGUCCGAUCGUCAGGGUUCUGGUAGAGAGUCGGAUGUUUCGCCUUGCUGCGUGUGAAUAAGAUCCUCACUCACGAAUUACAUUAGGCUACUAGGUGUGAGCUCCCAGACGAUACGUUUAUGCCAUUUCAUCGUACGAAUCAAUCUCCAUCCCGGUCCCCACAGUUCCCACAACAUAAUUUCAUGUCCAAGGAUCAUAUAUCACGCAACGACUUGAUUAACGUAUGGAGACCUUAGCCCCCAAAACUCUAGACGAAAUCGUACUUGCGAAGAUCGAAGGAGCAGUCAUGAAUUCUGUAUUAGGGAUGCACUACGAGGCAAAAUUGUAGAGCCAUGGAAACACUUCUGCGUGGACGAACUUUUUGCAGCCCAUGUUGCUAUUGGGAUUUGCCGACAACAAGACUGCAACAGUAUUGGAAUUGAUAAAAGGCAUGGGUGGGAAUUUCAUGCAAUCAGUCAUUGAUAUUUUCUAGGUUCACUAGCAUCCACAUGACAUCCAACUUGGUCGAUCAUCUAGUUGAAUAUUAAGCAUCUGCUCUAAACUGAAGGUUUUAAAGGGGUAAAUGUUUCGCACAGCUAAGUCUCUCUUGUUUAAUCCUUUCUACUGUGUUCAUUACACCCAUCUCUUAGGAUCCAUACUCAGUGAUUUUGAGUUUUGGUAUGAGUUUCCCUUCGCCUUGAGAUUUCUACUGAUCGCUGACCUAAUACAUCGUUCGUUCGUGCAAAAAGAUGAUGUGUAAAUGGUAUGCCUAUGUCCGAUGGCGGUGGUAUAGUUUUGUAGACGGCGAGCCGUGUUCCACCGAUUGACUACUUGUCAAGAUUAGGCAAUGAAGAAUUUACUUUCUUCCUUUUUGUUUUCCCUAUAGCUGGCACAGCCUUUGCCACUCAUCUGCUGCUUCAUUUGUGGUCGCGGUGACAUAGUUAAAUUUUCGAACCCGAUCGAGGUCUUUGCAGUGAUGCAAUGAAGAGGUGACAUAAAAUAGACAAGCCUCUGGAAGCACGCAAACUGUGACCAGUUCGUAACUUGAAGUUGAUUGAGAUGCAUGCGGGAUGUCCCUCGCAUCCUGAUCGAAGCCAGUACAGUAUCACGACUGCUUGACGACUGGAGUGUCCGAAAACCUCCCCUCUCACACCGAGGUACACUACGAACUGGCCGAAGAAUACGUGACUGAAGUUGCCAUUGGGAAUCAAUAUUUUACGAAUUGAGCUUCCCGUUUCUCUUGGAAUCUCCAGCAUACUGUUCUUCGCGGAUGCGCUUACGCAACAUCGAGGCCGAUUUCGAAUAUGCCUAAGAACUUCUACAGUGAUCAAAACACAUCAUGCUCUUCAUGAGAGCUUCAUCAGUCCAUGAUCCCUUUGUGGAUUAAAUAGACGUCAAGUGUUGUACAAACGUACCAACAUCAAUACUCAAAGGCCUAAGUGAAAUGCAUUGAUGAAUCAGUACUCCAAAUUGAUGGCACAGAGGUAUCGAUUGAUGAUUCAGUACCGUUGCCUUCUGCAUUCUCCUUCUCUGAAAAAAGAUAAAACGAAGCACAACUUGAAAUACAUAGUUUCCAACAAAUAUUUUUGCAUAGUUUUAUGAUUU